GAUGAACGCUAGCUACAGGCUUAACACAUGCAAGUCGAGGGGUAACAAGAGAAAAGCUUGCUUUUCUUGUUGACGACCGGCGCACGGGUGAGUAACGCGUAUCCAACCUGCCUAUAACUAGGGAAUAACCUUGCGAAAGUAAGACUAAUACCCUAUGAUUUCCUUUGAUGACAUCUGACGAGGAAUAAAGAUUUAUCGGUUGUGGAUGGGGAUGCGUCUGAUUAGCUUGUUGGCGGGGUAACGGCCCACCAAGGCAACGAUCAGUAGGGGUUCUGAGAGGAAGGUCCCCCACAUUGGAACUGAGACACGGUCCAAACUCCUACGGGAGGCAGCAGUGAGGAAUAUUGGUCAAUGGGCGGAAGCCUGAACCAGCCAAGUAGCGUGCAGGAUGACGGCCCUAUGGGUUGUAAACUGCUUUUAUACAGGAAUAAAGUUAGCCACGUGUGGUUAUUUGUAGGUACUGUAUGAAUAAGGACCGGCUAAUUCCGUGCCAGCCGCCGCAGUAA
RNAcentral lists this ribosomal RNA (506 nucleotides) under uncultured bacterium. Its description in RNAcentral is "partial 16S ribosomal RNA". It matches the Rfam family "Bacterial small subunit ribosomal RNA", at positions 28 to 523 of the family's 1533-position model. The record is from RNAcentral.